GACGAACGCUGGCGGCGUGCUUAACACAUGCAAGUCGAACGGAAAGGCCUCUUUCGGGGGGUACUCGAGUGGCGAACGGGUGAGUAACACGUGAGUAACCUGCCCUUGACUUUGGGAUAACUUCAGGAAACUGGGGCUAAUACCGGAUAGGAGCUCCUGCUGCAUGGUGGGGGUUGGAAAGUUUCGGCGGUUGGGGAUGGACUCGCGGCUUAUCAGCUUGUUGGUGGGGUAGUGGCUUACCAAGGCUUUGACGGGUAGCCGGCCUGAGAGGGUGACCGGCGACAUUGGGACUGAGAUACGGCCCAGACUGCUACGGGAGGAAGCAGUGGGGAAUAUUGAACAAUGGGUGGAAGCCUGAUGCAGCAACGCCGUGUGCGGGAUGACGGCCUUCGGGGUGUAAACCGCUUUCGCUCAUGACGAAGCUUUGUGUGACGGUAGUGGGUAAGGAAGCACCGGCUAACUACGUG
This 467-nucleotide ribosomal RNA is filed under the name uncultured bacterium. Its description in RNAcentral is "partial 16S ribosomal RNA". It matches the Rfam family "Bacterial small subunit ribosomal RNA", at positions 28 to 507 of the family's 1533-position model. The record is from RNAcentral.